This 561-nucleotide ribosomal RNA is filed under the name Phormidium willei NTDM01. RNAcentral describes it as "bacterial SSU rRNA". It matches the Rfam family "Bacterial small subunit ribosomal RNA", at positions 192 to 772 of the family's 1533-position model. Lineage: Bacteria; Bacillati; Cyanobacteriota; Cyanophyceae; Oscillatoriales; Oscillatoriaceae. The record is from RNAcentral.
GCCGCACCGUAAAAGAUCUCUCGCCCUUCGCGGAGCUCGCGUCCGAUUAGCUAGUUGGUGAGGUAAAAGCUCACCAAGGCAGCGAUCGGUAGCUGGUCUGAGAGGAUGAGCAGCCACACUGGGACUGAGACACGGCCCAGACUCCUACGGGAGGCAGCAGUGGGGAAUUUUCCGCAAUGGGCGCAAGCCUGACGGAGCAAUACCGCGUGAGGGAGGAAGGCUCUUGGGUUGUAAACCUCUUUUCUCAGGGAAGAAGUUCUGACGGUACCUGAGGAAUAAGCAUCGGCUAACUCCGUGCCAGCAGCCGCGGUAAUACGGAGGAUGCAAGCGUUAUCCGGAAUUAUUGGGCGUAAAGCGUCCGCAGGUGGCAUUUCCAGUCUGCUGUCAAAGACCAAGGCUCAACCUUGGGCAGGCAGUGGAAACUGAAAAGCUAGAGUGCGGUAGGGGUAGGGGGAAUUCCCAGUGUAGCGGUGUUAUGCGUAGAGAUUGGGAAGAACACCGGUGGCGAAAGCGCCCUACUAGGCCGCAACUGACACUCAGGACGAAAGCCUAGUAUGUCCC